GAGUUUGAUCGUGGCUCAGAUUGAACGCUGGCGGUAUGCUUAACACAUGCAAGUCGAACGGUAACAGGCUAGCUUGCUAGCGCUGACGAGUGGCGGACGGGUGCGUAACGCGUAGGAAUCUGCCUAUUAGUGGGGGACAACCUGGUGAAAACCAGGCUAAUACCGCAUACGCCCUACGGGGGAAAGCAGGGGAUCUUCGGACCUUGCGCUAAUAGAUGAGCCUGCGUUAGAUUAGCUUGUUGGUGAGGUAAUGGCUCACCAAGGCGACGAUCUAUAGCUGGUCUGAGAGGACGAUCAGCCACACUGGGACUGAGACACGGCCCCAGACUCCUACGGGAGACAGCAGUGGGGAAUAUUGGACAAUGGGCGGAAGCCUGAUCCAGCAAUACCGCGUGUGUGAAGAAGGCCUGAGGGUUGUAAAGCACUUUC
This 429-nucleotide ribosomal RNA is filed under the name uncultured microorganism. RNAcentral's name for it is "bacterial SSU rRNA". It matches the Rfam family "Bacterial small subunit ribosomal RNA", at positions 9 to 437 of the family's 1533-position model. The record is from RNAcentral.